GAAAAAGAGAGUUGGAUUUCUUAAUAAGUUACGAGGAUCUAACUGUUAAAAUGUGUCUAGUUUUAAAAUAUUUGUUAUGUCAGCAUUUAGGCUGUACUUAAUGUUGUGUGUAUGUGUUUGUGUGUUCCAAGGGAACUCUUGGUGACAUAACGGGGCAAAGACCACACUUUGGACGGUACUUCUAACAAACUGCUGGGAUCAUGGUACCUAUGAGGACAACACACACUGCUGGGAUCAUGAUUCCUGCAGCAGUGUGUGUGUGUGUGUGUGUGUGUGUGUGUGUGUGUGUGUGUGUGUGUGUGUGUGUGUGUGUGUGUGUGUGUGUGUGUGUGUGUGUGUGUGUGUGUGUGUGUGUUGUCCUCAUAGCGAUCAUGGAAGCAGCAGUGUGUGGUGGGUUCGCUGUAAAAUGGCGGGUAGGUCCAGUGUGUGGUGGGGUCGAUGUAAAAUGGCGGGUAGGUCCAGUGUGUGGUGGGGUCGCUGUAAAAUGGCAGGUAGGUCCAGUGUGUGGUGGGGUUGAUGUGAAAUGGUGGGUAUGUCCCGUGUGUGGUGGGGUUGCUGUGAAACGGCAGGUAGGUCCAGUGUGUUGUGGGGUUGCUGUAAAAUGGCGGGUAGGUCCAGUGUGUGGUGGGGUCGCGGUAAAAUGGUGGGUAGGUCCAGUGUGUGGUGGGAUUGAUGUGAAACGGCAGGGAGGUCCAGUGUAAGAUGCAGUCAGUAUAAAGUUUAA
Molecule: long non-coding RNA, 724 nt
Filed under: Salmo salar (Atlantic salmon)
Lineage: Eukaryota; Metazoa; Chordata; Actinopteri; Salmoniformes; Salmonidae
Description: lncRNA (ENSSSAG00000099835.1)
Source: RNAcentral